ACACCCAGCUCCCCUGGCUCUAGCAGCACAGAAAUAUUGGCACUGGGAAGUGAGUCUGCCAAUAUUGGUUGUGCUGCUCCAGGCAGGGUGGUGA
RNAcentral lists this microRNA precursor (94 nucleotides) under Octodon degus (degu). RNAcentral's name for it is "microRNA 195 (ENSODEG00000021102.1)". The stretch from base 12 to 88 matches the Rfam family "mir-16 microRNA precursor family". From Rfam's summary of the family: The hairpin precursors (represented here) are predicted based on base pairing and cross-species conservation -- their extents are not known. In this case the mature sequence is excised from the 5' arm of the hairpin. Lineage: Eukaryota; Metazoa; Chordata; Mammalia; Rodentia; Octodontidae. The record is from RNAcentral.